AGUGGGAUAACUGGGUCAAAUUGUUGUUCCAUUCUUUUUUGAGGAAUCUCUGCAUUGCUUUCCAGAGUAGUUGCAACAAUUUGCAAUCCCACCAGCAAU
Molecule: microRNA precursor, 99 nt
Filed under: Marmota monax (woodchuck)
Lineage: Eukaryota; Metazoa; Chordata; Mammalia; Rodentia; Sciuridae
Source: RNAcentral